This 459-nucleotide ribosomal RNA is filed under the name uncultured bacterium. Its description in RNAcentral is "bacterial SSU rRNA". It matches the Rfam family "Bacterial small subunit ribosomal RNA", at positions 34 to 507 of the family's 1533-position model. The record is from RNAcentral.
CGCUGGCGGCGUGCCUAAACACAUGCAAGUCGAGCGAAUGAAGUUCCUUCGGGAACGGAUUUAGCGGCGGACGGGUGAGUAACACGUGGGCAACCUGCCUCAUAGAGGGGAAUAGCCUUCCGAAAGGGAGAUUAAUACCGCAUAAGAUUAUAGUACCGCAUGGUACAGCAAUUAAAGGAGCAAUCCGCUAUGAGAUGGGCCCGCGGCGCAUUAGCUAGUUGGUGAGGUAACGGCUCACCAAGGCGACGAUGCGUAGCCGACCUGAGAGGGUGAUCGGCCACAUUGGGACUGAGACACGGCCCAGACUCCUACGGGAGGCAGCAGUGGGGAAUAUUGCACAAUGGGGGAAACCCUGAUGCAGCAACGCCGCGUGAGUGAUGACGGCCUUCGGGUUGUAAAGCUCUGUCUUCAGGGACGAUAAUGACGGUACCUGAGGUGGAAGCCACGGCUAACUACGUG